CGCACCUUGCGCUUCUUGGUAUUCCGAGAAGCAUGCCUGUUUGAGUGUCAUAAAAUUCUCAAGUCUUGAAUCUAGCUUAGAAUCAGACUUGGAUUUAUGGAAGUUGCUGGCUUUUUAAAAAAAAUGAGUUAGCUCUUCUUAAAUAAAUUAGCAAGAUAACUGCUAAUCAUCAUUUGAUAUGAUAAAUUAUCUAUAUCAUUGAUAAAUAGCAUUUUGCUUCUAAUAACUUCUUUUCUACAUUGUGUUUGACCUCAAAUCAGGUAGGAUUACCCGCUGAACUUAA
Molecule: unclassified non-coding RNA, 283 nt
Filed under: Entoloma sp.
Lineage: Eukaryota; Fungi; Basidiomycota; Agaricomycetes; Agaricales; Entolomataceae
Description: partial contains 5.8S ribosomal RNA, internal transcribed spacer 2, and large subunit ribosomal RNA
Source: RNAcentral